GCCAUGGUGGUGCAAUGGUUAAGCACUUGGUUGCUAACUAAAAGGUUGGUGGUUCAAAACUAUCCAGUGGUU
RNAcentral lists this transfer RNA (72 nucleotides) under Loxodonta africana (African savanna elephant). It matches the Rfam family "tRNA". Rfam says of the family: Transfer RNA (tRNA) molecules are approximately 80 nucleotides in length. Their secondary structure includes four short double-helical elements and three loops (D, anti-codon, and T loops). Further hydrogen bonds mediate the characteristic L-shaped molecular structure. tRNAs have two regions of fundamental functional importance: the anti-codon, which is responsible for specific mRNA codon recognition, and the 3' end, to which the tRNAs corresponding amino acid is attached (by aminoacyl-tRNA synthetases). tRNAs cope with the degeneracy of the genetic code in two manners: having more than one tRNA (with a specific anti-codon) for a particular amino acid; and 'wobble' base-pairing, i.e. permitting non-standard base-pairing at the 3rd anti-codon position. Lineage: Eukaryota; Metazoa; Chordata; Mammalia; Proboscidea; Elephantidae. The record is from Rfam by way of RNAcentral.